This 575-nucleotide ribosomal RNA is filed under the name Cladosporium macrocarpum. Its description in RNAcentral is "partial large subunit ribosomal RNA". It matches the Rfam family "Eukaryotic large subunit ribosomal RNA", at positions 38 to 634 of the family's 3401-position model. The record is from RNAcentral. Lineage: Eukaryota; Fungi; Ascomycota; Dothideomycetes; Cladosporiales; Cladosporiaceae.
GCAUAUCAAUAAGCGGAGGAAAAGAAACCAACAGGGAUUGCUCUAGUAACGGCGAGUGAAGCAGCAAUAGCUCAAAUUUGAAAUCUGGCGUCUUCGACGUCCGAGUUGUAAUUUGUAGAGGAUGCUUCUGAGUGGCCACCGACCUAAGUUCCUUGGAACAGGACGUCAUAGAGGGUGAGAAUCCGUAUGCGGUCGGAAAGGCGCUCUAUACGUAGCUCCUUCGACGAGUCGAGUUGUUUGGGAAUGCAGCUCUAAAUGGGAGGUAAAUUUCUUCUAAAGCUAAAUAUUGGCCAGAGACCGAUAGCGCACAAGUAGAGUGAUCGAAAGAUGAAAAGCACUUUGGAAAGAGAGUUAAAAAGCACGUGAAAUUGUUAAAAGGGAAGGGAUUGCAACCAGACUUGCUCGCGGUGUUCCGCCGGUCUUCUGACCGGUCUACUCGCCGCGUUGCAGGCCAGCAUCGUCUGGUGCCGCUGGAUAAGACUUGAGGAAUGUAGCUCCCUCGGGAGUGUUAUAGCCUCUUGUGAUGCAGCGAGCGCCGGGCGAGGUCCGCGCUCGGCUAGGAUGCGGCUAAAAUA